AUUGAACGCUGGCGACAUGCCUUACACAUGCAAGUCGAACGGCAGCACGGGUGCUUGCACCUGGUGGCGAGUGGCGAACGGGUGAGUAAUACAUCGGAACAUGUCCUGUAGUGGGGGAUAGCCCGGCGAAAGCCGGAUUAAUACCGCAUACGAUCUACGGAUGAAAGCGGGGGACCUUCGGGCCUCGCGCUAUGGGGUUGGCCGAUGGCUGAUUAGCUAGUUGGUGGGGUAAAGGCCUACCAAGGCGACGAUCAGUAGCUGGUCUGAGAGGACGACCAGUCACACUGGGACUGAGACACGGCCCAGACUCCUACGGGAGGCAGCAGUGGGGAAUUUUGGACAAAGGGCGAAAGCCUGAUCCAGCAAUGCCGCGUGUGUGAAGAAGGCCUUCGGGUUGUAAAGCACUUUUGUCCGGAAAGAAAUCCUUGGCCCUAAUACGGUCGGGGGAUGACGGUACCGGAAGAAUAAGCACCGGCUAACUACGUG
This 486-nucleotide ribosomal RNA is filed under the name uncultured bacterium. Its description in RNAcentral is "partial 16S ribosomal RNA". It matches the Rfam family "Bacterial small subunit ribosomal RNA", at positions 30 to 507 of the family's 1533-position model. The record is from RNAcentral.